AGUGCUGAGCUGGUUGCAGACUUUGCCAGGCAAAUCUACGGCAUGACCUCACGCACCUAUUGCUUUGACAAAGCCUUGCCUGAUCCAUGCCACAAGGAGUGGGUGUCCAUUCCAAGCUACAGCACCAGCAAGAUGAACAGAAAGGACAUGCUCAGGGUGUCGGCCUAUGGCGGAUCUCUUUGAGAUUUUUUGGUGCGAGGGUCCGGGUCUUGCUUGUCUGACUACGCUCAAACACUAUGUACUCUAGACUAUUGCACCUGUGAGGCCCGUCCGCCAGAACUCUGGACUUAUAACUUACAAUUACAUCAUUGAUAAAUGAGAAUUUAAAAUGUCUGAUACUGACUUAUAUAUGUCUGUCUCUGGCACUUAUUUGCAUUGGUGGAGUAGAUUAUCAUAAGUGCUAUUUAUCUAUAAUAUAAUUAA
Molecule: long non-coding RNA, 423 nt
Organism: Mya arenaria
Lineage: Eukaryota; Metazoa; Mollusca; Bivalvia; Myida; Myidae
Exons: 3
Source: RefSeq, a predicted model, not a curated record